Molecule: long non-coding RNA, 308 nt
Organism: Hypanus sabinus (Atlantic stingray)
Lineage: Eukaryota; Metazoa; Chordata; Chondrichthyes; Myliobatiformes; Dasyatidae
Exons: 3
Source: RefSeq, a predicted model, not a curated record
CUCCCACCUAACAUGGAGCCUGUGACCAGCGUGAAUGUGAAAAAUGGAUAAAGGGAAGGAAAAGAUGACUUCAGUGGAGCAGUUUCAAGACGUAACUAAGAUGUGAUUCCCUAUGAGAAAAUGAAUCUCAAGACAAUGUCCUGACUCUCAGUGGUUGGGGAUUUGGCGUUUGUGCUAGAAAUGACUUUAAUACCACUGAAGAAUCUACACAUCACAGAUGGAAAUAUUCCGUGGCAGAUGGAAAAUUUUCUGGAACAUGCUUCUGUUGAGCAUUCACAUUGUGUUUGGCUGUGAACCCUCCUGGUAGG